AGACAAAGGAAUGGAACAGGAUAGCUUGCAGGAAGAAUAAUGGCACAAAGACAUGCCACAGUUCCUGAGAGUUAAUGCAAGGAACAGUUGGUGAUAUGAUAUCCAUCAGUGCAAGAAUUUCACAAUAUUUAAGACCCUCAGCUGCUGGAGGCCAUCAGCCAGGACAGAAUGGACCUGUCCUAGGGCAGCACUUGCUGGAAGGCAAGUAAGCACACACAGGCAGGACCUACAAAAGCAAAGCAAGCACAACAGGGCUCCUUUUCUGCUGUGGGAGCUGCCUUCACUGCCAAAGGAAUGAUUGUAUCACUGUUUCUAGAGCCAAGCCAGAUCAUGUUCGUGUGGCCAUCUCCAAAUAAACAAGAAAAC
Molecule: long non-coding RNA, 366 nt
Organism: Poecile atricapillus (Black-capped chickadee)
Lineage: Eukaryota; Metazoa; Chordata; Aves; Passeriformes; Paridae
Exons: 3
Source: RefSeq, a predicted model, not a curated record